Molecule: ribosomal RNA, 504 nt
Filed under: uncultured bacterium
Lineage: Bacteria
Description: bacterial SSU rRNA
Rfam family: Bacterial small subunit ribosomal RNA
Source: RNAcentral
GAGUUUGAUCCUGGCGUCAGGAUAAACGCUGGCGGCGUGCCUAAUACAUGCAAGUCGAACGAGGAAGGCAAGCUUGCUUGCCGGAACGAGUGGCGAACGGGUGAGUAAUACAUAAGCAACCUGCCUGUAAGACCGGGAUAAUGCCUGAAACGGGUCUAAACCGGAUAGGCAUAGAUGGGGCAUCCCAUUUAUGUUAAAGGUGAGAGACACAAACAGAUGGGCUUAUGGCGCAUUAGCCAGUUGGUGAGGUAAACGGGCCCACCAAAGCGAUGAUGCGUAGCCGGCCUGAGAGGGUGAACGGCCACAUUGGGACUGAGACACGGCCCAGACUCCUACGGGAGGCAGCAGUAGGGAAUUUUCGGCAAUGGGGGAACCCUGACCGAGCAACGCCGCGUGAGUGAAGAAGGUUUUCGGAUUGUAAAGCUCUGUUGCAAGGGAAGAACGGCACAUAGAGGAUAUGUGAGUGACGGUACCUUGCGAGGAAGCCACGGCUAACUACGUGCC